GGCCUUGAGCGCUGUCUUCGCUUUCAGCAAAGGCUCCAGUUUCACCUUCAGCUUCACCUUCCGCCUCACCUUCAGCGUAUGCCUCAGACUCACUUUCAGCUUCGGCCUCACUCUCAGCUUCGCUUUCGGCUUCGCCCUCAGGAAGAUGCACCACCCGUCAAUGGCAGUCAGAGGCACUUUUGGUACUUUCGGGACCAGAAACAAACCGAACAAAAAUCAAUUCCUUGAUGUUUGUUGCAUCUCUGCGUCGAAACUUGGAUGGAUGCGUGUCAAGCCAGCCAGAAUCAGCGGAGCAAAGCCAAACAUCGGCAAGGCAUCGCAUUCACAAAUACAGCCAGAAACAUUGGAAUUGAUUCACUGACAUGUACAGUAGUUUUGGAUAGAAAUAAUGAUACCCUCUUACCUUUUCG
Long non-coding RNA from Tigriopus californicus, 410 nucleotides. RefSeq lists it as uncharacterized. The transcript is spliced from 2 exons. The record is from RefSeq and is a predicted model, not a curated record. NCBI's taxonomy places the organism in Eukaryota, Metazoa, Arthropoda, Copepoda, Harpacticoida, Harpacticidae.